UACGUAGGGGGCAAGCGUUGUCCGGAUUUAUUGGGCGUAAAGAGCGUGUAGGCGGCCAGGUAGGUCAGCUGUGAAAACUCGAGGCUUAACCUCGAGACGCCGGCUGAAACCCUCUGGCUAGAGUCCGGAAGAGGAGAGCGGAAUUCAUGGUGUAGCGGUGAAAUGCGCAGAUAUCAGGAAGAACACCCGUGGCGAAGGCGGCUCUCUGGGACGGUACUGACGCUGAGACGCGAAAGCGUGGGGAGCAAACAGG
Molecule: ribosomal RNA, 253 nt
Filed under: uncultured bacterium
Lineage: Bacteria
Description: partial 16S ribosomal RNA
Rfam family: Bacterial small subunit ribosomal RNA
Source: RNAcentral